CUCCAGAUGUUGCUGAAUUACAACUCCCAUGAUUCUAUGAAUAAAAUAUGCUGAGAAUCAUGGGAGUUGUAGUUCAGCAACAUCUGGAG
Molecule: microRNA precursor, 89 nt
Filed under: Pelobates cultripes (western spadefoot toad)
Lineage: Eukaryota; Metazoa; Chordata; Amphibia; Anura; Pelobatidae
Source: RNAcentral